AGUGUAGCUGUCAAGUAGCCUA
RNAcentral lists this non-coding RNA (22 nucleotides) under Arabidopsis thaliana (thale cress). Lineage: Eukaryota; Viridiplantae; Streptophyta; Magnoliopsida; Brassicales; Brassicaceae. The record is from RNAcentral.